RNAcentral lists this ribosomal RNA (715 nucleotides) under uncultured bacterium. RNAcentral's name for it is "bacterial SSU rRNA". It matches the Rfam family "Bacterial small subunit ribosomal RNA", at positions 805 to 1532 of the family's 1533-position model. The record is from RNAcentral.
AACGAUGAUAACUCGCUGUCGGCGAUACACAGUCGGUGGCCAAGCGAAAGCGAUAAGUUAUCCACCUGGGGAGUACGACCGCAAGGUUGAAACUCAAAGGAAUUGACGGGGGCCCGCACAAGCGGAGGAACAUGUGGUUUAAUUCGAUGAUACGCGAGGAACCUUACCCGGGCUCGAACGGUGCAUGAAUGAUUCAGAGAUGGAUUAGUCCUUCGGGACAUGUAUCGAGGUGCUGCAUGGUUGUCGUCAGCUCGUGCCGUGAGGUGUCGGCUUAAGUGCCAUAACGAGCGCAACCCUUGUCGUUAGUUGCCAUCAGGUAAUGCUGGGAACUCUAGCGAGACUGCCACCGUAAGGUGCGAGGAAGGGGGGGAUGACGUCAAAUCAGCACGGCCCUUACGUCCGGGGCGACACACGUGUUACAAUGGCAGGUACAGAGGGCAGCUACCCAGCGAUGGGGUGCGAAUCUCGAAAGCCUGUCUCAGUUCGGAUCGGAGUCUGCAACUCGACUCCGUGAAGUUGGAUUCGCUAGUAAUCGCGCAUCAGCCAUGGCGCGGUGAAUACGUUCCCGGGCCUUGUACACACCGCCCGUCAAGCCAUGGAAGCUGGGGGUGCCUGAAGUUCGUUACCGCAAGGAGCGACCUAGGGCAAAACUGGUAACUGGGGCUAAGUCGUAACAAGGUAGCCGUACCGGAAGGUGUGGCUGGAUCACCUCCUU